RNAcentral lists this ribosomal RNA (216 nucleotides) under Glomeromycotina sp. RNAcentral describes it as "partial small subunit ribosomal RNA". The stretch from base 40 to 216 matches the Rfam family "Eukaryotic small subunit ribosomal RNA", at positions 686 to 864 of the family's 1831-position model. The record is from RNAcentral. Lineage: Eukaryota; Fungi; Glomeromycota.
GGGUCAGUAGGUUGGUCGUGCCACCGGUACGUACUGGUCUCACUGAUUCCUCCUUCCUGAAGAACCGUAAUGCCAUUAAUUUGGUGUUGCGGGGAAACAGGACUGUUACUUUGAAAAAAUUAGAGUGUUUAAAGCAAGCUAUCGCUUGAAUACAUUAGCAUGGAAUAAUGAAAUAGGACGAUCGAUCCUAUUUUGUUGGUUUCUAGGAUUGACGUA